This 316-nucleotide long non-coding RNA is filed under the name Elaeis guineensis (African oil palm). Its description in RNAcentral is "long non-coding RNA (EGUI_LNC005203)". Lineage: Eukaryota; Viridiplantae; Streptophyta; Magnoliopsida; Arecales; Arecaceae. The record is from RNAcentral.
AUUGGUUAAGAAAGGUAUUUUACCAAAUCUAAAAUUUAGUGAUUUUGAUAUGUGCAUCGAUUAUAUUAAAAAUAAAUAAAUUAAAAGAUAUAAAAAGCAUGCCAUUAGAAGUCAAGGACACUUAAAAUUGAUACGUAUCGAUAUUUAUGACUAUUUUAUAUUUUAUUUUGGAGGGCAAAAGUAUUUCAUCAACUUUAAUGAUUUUUCACGUUAUAUUUAUAUUUUUCUAUUGCAUAAAAAGUUUGAAGCUUUAGAAGCCUUUAAGGUAUACAAAGUUGAAGUAGAAAAUUAAUUGGACAGAAAAAUUAAAGUCAUG